GCUGUUUUAAUUGAUAAAAUAACGCAUUCGUAAUGCGUGGGUCGGGUGUUCGAGUCACCUUACCAGCACCA
Molecule: transfer RNA, 71 nt
Filed under: Geminicoccus sp.
Lineage: Bacteria; Pseudomonadati; Pseudomonadota; Alphaproteobacteria; Geminicoccales; Geminicoccaceae
Description: tRNA-Thr
Rfam family: tRNA
About the family: Transfer RNA (tRNA) molecules are approximately 80 nucleotides in length. Their secondary structure includes four short double-helical elements and three loops (D, anti-codon, and T loops). Further hydrogen bonds mediate the characteristic L-shaped molecular structure. tRNAs have two regions of fundamental functional importance: the anti-codon, which is responsible for specific mRNA codon recognition, and the 3' end, to which the tRNAs corresponding amino acid is attached (by aminoacyl-tRNA synthetases). tRNAs cope with the degeneracy of the genetic code in two manners: having more than one tRNA (with a specific anti-codon) for a particular amino acid; and 'wobble' base-pairing, i.e. permitting non-standard base-pairing at the 3rd anti-codon position.
Source: RNAcentral